Molecule: long non-coding RNA, 252 nt
Filed under: Nicotiana benthamiana
Lineage: Eukaryota; Viridiplantae; Streptophyta; Magnoliopsida; Solanales; Solanaceae
Description: long non-coding RNA (NBEN_LNC025244)
Source: RNAcentral
AAGGAGUACGAAAAAUUCUAGGAGCCCCUAUCCUACAACCCUGAUACUAGACCUCCAUACAUUCCUAUCAAGGGUCAUGUCCUCGGAAAUCCGCAUCCUAGCCAUGUCAUGCCUAAUCACCUCUCCCCGAUACCUCUUAGGCCUCCCUCUGCCUCGCCUCAUGCCGACCACCGCCAGCCGCUCACAACUCCUCGCCGGGGCAUCUGGACUUCUUCUCCGCACAUGCCCGAACCAACUGAGCCUCGCUUCUCG